Megalobrama amblycephala (Wuchang bream) is the source of this 2328-nucleotide long non-coding RNA. RefSeq lists it as uncharacterized. Lineage: Eukaryota; Metazoa; Chordata; Actinopteri; Cypriniformes; Xenocyprididae. The record is from RefSeq and is a predicted model, not a curated record. The transcript has 6 exons.
UUAGGAGGGAUUUAUUAAACAUGGAUGCAGAAGAAAGUUCGGAACUGUCCGAAUAUGUACAGUCACUGACUCUGCAGGACCGUGACAGCUAUUUUUGUAAAUUAACUCUUGCGGGUGGAAGCAGGCUGCCUGACCCGUAUGCCAUACGGCCACGGGAGUGGCAUGAAGACUUGACGGGGCUGCCGAGGGUGGAGUGGCCGGAUAUCUACACUUACCUCAUCGAGUCACCAAGUGUUUACAGCCGAGAAAAGCUACAGGCAUAUAAAUCCCUGGAUGCCUACAACUAUUAAUGGUCACGUUCAGACAUUACAAUACAACAAUUUACGUACAGAUCUUUGUGUAGUGCGGUCAGAGGUGUUGCCUAGCCAGAGGCAAGGCAAGAAGGGUGACAUGUACCACACCUGGGUGAUCGUAAAUCGGGACAACAGUACAAUUUUAAUGGCGAACUGCACUUGCAUGUCAGUUUUAACCUAACAGUAAAUAGUUGCAACCGCUGUUGCAGCUGCAACCGCUGUUAUAAAUCCUAAUUAAUAUGUUUUGAAGUCAUGAUGAAUGUAUGUAUUACUCUUGAGGGAAAGAUUUCAUUGAAAACUUUAGUUUUGAUCCAAAAGUGCUGUUCCUUCUAUUCUGGCAGCCAAAAACACAAGACGACAUUUUACAGUCAAAACCUCAAACUUUUAGCGUGCCUGCUAUGAGUUCUUCCUUAUAUUUUGCCUCCAGCUAUGCAGUGGCGUCACAGUGACGUAGGCGAUUAAGGGGUCUAUAAGAAUCAACCCAGCUAACAGGGAAGGUUCCCAGAACAUUCACUAACGUUCUUUAAAAGUUGUGUGAAUGUUAGUACAAAACGUUAUUAAAAUAAUGAUUUUGGAACGUUCUUAUAACAUUAACGUUCUUAUAACAUUUAGAGAAAACGUUCUGGGAACAACGUUCUUGGAACAUCCUUAGGACGUUAUUUGUACUUGAUGAACGUUCGCAUAAUGUUGAUAGGAAACGUUAUUAGAACAACAUUCUCAGAACGUCCUUAUAACGUUAUUAGUAUUUUCUGAAUGUUAUCGUAAUGUUAUCAUAAAACGUUUUGGGAACAAUGUUCUUGGAACAUGCUUAGGACGUUAUUUGUAGGCUACUUGAUGAACGUUCGCAUAAUGUUGAUAGGAAACGUUAUUAGAACAACAUUCUCAGAACGUCCUUAUAACGUUAUUAGUAUUUUCUGAACGUUAUCAUAAAACGUUUUGGGAACAACGUUCUUGGAACAUCCUUAGGACGUUAUUUGUACUUGAUUCGCAUAAUGUUGAUAGAAAACGUUAUUAGAACAACAUUCUCAGAACGUCCUUAUAACGUUAUUAGUAUUUUCUGAAUGUUAUCAUAAUGUUAUCAUAAAACGUUUUGGGAACAAUGUUCUUGGAACAUCCUUAGGACGUUAUUUAUACUUGAUGAACGUCCUCAUAAUGUUGAUAGAAAACGUUCUUAGAACAACAUCAGAACGUCCAUAUAAUGUUAUAAGUAUUUAUGUUCCCAUAAUAUAUCACGCACGGACAUUUCAGGACUCGCAUUUUGAGCUGAAUCAGACUCUCAAUUCCUGACGCCACUGAAUCGAAUCUUUUUGGAAUCGUUUACUGUCUUGAUUCUCGAGUCUGUUCUUUCCCCUCCCCCACUGCCUCACUGCAGCUCUUCUCUUGCGCGCGCAGCAGCAGAGAGCGUCCGUUAUUUUCUGAGGCUGAGAAAACGUAAAUGCCUGACGUUGCGAGCCGUUCGUUUCCGCUCCUGCUCCAUUCAAAUCUUGCGCGCGCUGACAGGGUCCGGUAUUUUCAUCAUAGAGAGAUUUACACAUAGGAUUUACAUCAUAAGAAGCAUUUUCUAGGCCGCUGCCUUUCAGUUAUUGCGCGCGCUGACAGCGACCUAUAUUUUCAGAGAUGCUUCAAAUAACUUACAGCACUGAAGGAAAAGCUGCACCUGACUUGAUUCUUGCGAGGCAGACAAGGACAGAAAAGGCCAAGUGGUAAAUGCUGCUAUUCUUCUCUAAUACUGUUGCUCUUCAAAGAACACGGUCAUCAAUCAGGAUCCUCCAUUCCCAGCUCCAACCAGUCAUCUGAAGGACUGCAGCGAUGGGAACCCUUUGAACCACAAGUGGCAGUUUCCACCGGAUGACAAAGGACAUGGUAGAGGAUGAUAGACCCCUAUUGAUAUCUCACUGAUGUUCGCCUGCUGUACUGACUGUAUCACACACACACACAUACAGUUUUGUGCUCAAAAGUUUAUAUCACAUUGCAGAAUCUGUUAGUUCACCCAAAAAUGUAAUUUCUGUCAUUAAUUACUUAUCCUCAUGUCGUU